AGAGCGAACGCUGGCGGCAGGCCUAACACAUGCAAGUCGAACGGACCCUUCGGGGUUAGUGGCGGACGGGUGAGUAACACGUGGGAACGUGCCUUUAGGUUCGGAAUAGCUCCUGGAAACGGGUGGUAAUGCCGAAUGUGCCCUUCGGGGGAAAGAUUUAUCGCCUUUAGAGCGGCCCGCGUCUGAUUAGCUAGUUGGUGAGGUAAAGGCUCACCAAGGCUACGAUCAGUAGCUGGUCUGAGAGGAUGACCAGCCACAUUGGGACUGAGACACGGCCCAAACUCCUACGGGAGGCAGCAGUGGGAAUCUUGCGCAAUGGGCAAAGCCUGACGCAGCCAUGCCGCGUGAAUGAUGAAGGUCUUAGGAUUGUAAAAUUCUUUCAGUAGGACGAUAAUGACGUACUACAGAAGAAGCCCGACUAACUUCGUGCCAGCAGCCGAC
Molecule: ribosomal RNA, 441 nt
Filed under: uncultured soil bacterium
Lineage: Bacteria
Description: bacterial SSU rRNA
Rfam family: Bacterial small subunit ribosomal RNA
Source: RNAcentral